AUUGACCGCUGGCGGCAGGCCUAACACAUGCACGUCGAACGAGUGGCGGACGGGUGAGUAAUGUCUGGGAAACUGCCUGAUAGAGGGGGAUAACUACUGGAAACGGUAGCUAAUACCGCAUACCAUCGGAUGUCCACCGAUGGGAUUAGGUAGUAGGUGGGGGAAAGGCGCACCUAGGCGACGAUCACUAGCUGGUCUGCGAGGAUGAACAGCCACACUGGAACGUGGACAAGGUCCAGACUCCUACGGGAGGGAGCAGUGGGGAAUAGUGCACAAUGGGCGCAAGCCUGAUGCAUCCAUGCCGCGUGUAUGAAGAAGGCCUUCGGGUUGUAAAGUACUUUCAGCGGGGAGGCGUUACCCGCAGAAGAAGCACCGGCUAACUCCGUGCCAGCAGCCGCGGUAAUUC
This 406-nucleotide ribosomal RNA is filed under the name uncultured bacterium. Its description in RNAcentral is "partial 16S ribosomal RNA". It matches the Rfam family "Bacterial small subunit ribosomal RNA", at positions 30 to 526 of the family's 1533-position model. The record is from RNAcentral.